UAUCCAAACAAUUUUAGUUAAUUACUUUGCAUACAAAUAAAAUUUAAAAGUUGCCAAAGAAAAGAACGUUCAUUCUUCGUCUCUCUGUUUUUUUUUUUCAAAAGAAAAGAAAAAAGGAAACAUUGUUCAACCACGUAAGUCUGCUAAUAAAUGGGUAUAAUAGUAGGGCAGAAUUUUCUCAUAUAAUUAGCUUAAUAAACAAAACAAUAAUUUAAUGGUAACAGUCAUAUGUGUUUAGAUUUGUAAAUUUAAAUAUUCUUUAAACAUUAUUUUUUACAUUAUAAAAUUUGAAAUUUUACUAUAUUUUGUAAAUAUUUUUUAAUAAUUUUUUUAUUUAUUAGUUUGAAAUGUUGGAGGUAAGAAUAAAUAGAGAGUGGGGAACAAAAACUUUAAAAUUGAAGUAUAUAUAGAAGUAAAAUUUGAAUGUUAGUGUUAUAUGUGUAGACACAUCACAUUGGUUAGCCAUUAAGCUCUCUUAUGUAUAUUCUUAUUGCGUGGGAUAGAAGAAAUAAUUUAUUGUGCACAAAAGUCAAAUUAAAUCAAACCCCAACCUCUAUAUAAACCCACUUCCCCCAUACAAAAACUAUCACAAGACUUUCCCAAAUAGAUAAAGAGAAAAAAAAAAGUUCCCAAAGAAAAAUCUCGCGAAAGAUGUCUACAACAUGCAAAGGGAAGAGUUCAUGGCCGGAGUUGGUUGGUAAAGCAGGAAAAGAAGCAGAGAAGACAAUUGAGAGAGAGAAUCCAUUGGUGGAUGCUAUUAUUGUUGAUGAAGGUUCAGUGGUGAUUCAAGACUUUAGGUGCGACAGGGUUUGGGUUUGGGUUGAUCCUAAGACAGCCAUUGUCACUAGGACUCCCUUCAUUGGUUAAAAUUGAAUAUAUAUAUAUAUAUAUAUAUAUAUAUAUAUAUAUAUGUUUUAAAUUAUGUAUUAUUUCAAUAUUAUAAUUCAAAUGCCAAUUCAUGUUUGUUCCUACCACAUGAAUAAUAUUAUUUCAAUAAGGCAUUUAUGAUCUUUUUUUCUUUUUUCUUUUUCCUUUCAAAGAUGUCUGAUAUAAUGUAAUACUUGUGUUUGCCGUAAUAAAAAUAUUUGUGAUGUGUUA
Molecule: long non-coding RNA, 1098 nt
Organism: Cucumis melo (muskmelon)
Lineage: Eukaryota; Viridiplantae; Streptophyta; Magnoliopsida; Cucurbitales; Cucurbitaceae
Exons: 2
Source: RefSeq, a predicted model, not a curated record